GUAGGUGGCAAGCGUUGUCCGGAAUUAUUGGGGCGUAAAGCGCGCGCAGGCGGUUCUUUAAGUCUGAUGUGAAAGCCCACGGGCUCAACCGUGGAGGGUCAUUGGAAACUGGAGAACUUGAGUACAGAAGAGGAAAGCGGAAUUCCACGUGUAGCGGUGAAAUGCGUAGAGAUGUGGAGGAACACCAGUGGCGAAGGCGGCUCUCUGGUCUGUAACUGACGCUGAGGCGCGAAAGCGUGGGGAGCAAACAGGAUUAGAUACCCUGGUAGUCCACGCCGUAAACGAUGAGUGCUAAGUGUUAGGGGGUUUCCGCCCCUUAGUGCUGCAGCUAACGCAUUAAGCACUCCGCCUGGGGAGUACGGCCGCAAAGGCUG
Molecule: ribosomal RNA, 374 nt
Filed under: uncultured organism
Description: partial 16S ribosomal RNA
Rfam family: Bacterial small subunit ribosomal RNA
Source: RNAcentral